RNAcentral lists this transfer RNA (75 nucleotides) under Candidatus Cloacimonadota bacterium. Its description in RNAcentral is "Candidatus Cloacimonetes bacterium (marine metagenome) tRNA-Thr". It matches the Rfam family "tRNA". Rfam says of the family: Transfer RNA (tRNA) molecules are approximately 80 nucleotides in length. Their secondary structure includes four short double-helical elements and three loops (D, anti-codon, and T loops). Lineage: Bacteria; Pseudomonadati; Candidatus Cloacimonadota. The record is from RNAcentral.
GCCAUCAUAGCUCAGUGGUAGAGCAACUGAUUCGUAAUCAGUAGAUCGUGGGUUCAAGUCCCGCUGAUGGCUCCA